Molecule: long non-coding RNA, 1055 nt
Filed under: Sus scrofa (pig)
Lineage: Eukaryota; Metazoa; Chordata; Mammalia; Artiodactyla; Suidae
Description: lncRNA (ENSSSCG00015069662.1)
Source: RNAcentral
AGCCUUGGCCUACGGGGUGCGUCGGCUGGACCCAGGCGGACAGGACCUUGGGAGGGAGGGGAGGAGCCCUGUAGGUUCCGCCGAGAGCUACGAGUUUGCUUAGCUCGCAGGACGUCAGAGCUGGUGACGUCCGAUGCAAGGGCCUACGCCACAGCCACAGCAAUGCGGGAUCCGAGUCAUGUCUGCGACCUACACCACAGCUCACAGCAAGGCCAGAUCCUUAACCCACUGAGCGAGGACAGGGAUCAAACCCUCAACCUCAUGGUUCCUAGUCGGAUUCGUUAACCACUGAACCACGACGGGAACUCCGGGCCUACACCACAGCAACACCAGAUCAGAGCCACGUCUGUGACCAACACCACAGCUCAGGGCAACACCAGAUCCUUAACCCACUGAACAAAGGCCAGGGAUUGAACCCGCAACCUCAUGGUUCCUAGUUGGAUUCGUUAACCACUGAGCCACGACGGGAACGCCUCUUUUUAAAUUAUAGUUUUGUCCAGAUAUAUGGAUUGCUGUAUCAUAUGGUAGUUUUAUAUUGCCUUUUCUGAGGAACCCCCAUACUGUUUUCCAUAGUGGUUGUACCAGUUUACAUUCCUCCAGCCGUGCAGGAGGGUUCCACACCCUCUGCAGCAUUUGUUAUUUGUAGGCUUAUGAAUGAUGGCCACUCUGACCAGUAAGAGGUGGUAUCUCACUGUAGUUUUGAUUUGCAUUUCUCUAAUAAUUAGUGAUGUUGAACAUCUUUUAUGUGCCUACUGGCCAGCUGUAUGUCUUCCUUGGAGAAAUGACUAUUUAGGUCUUCUGCACAUUUUUCGAUUAGGUUGUUCGUUCUUUUGUCGUUGAGUUGUAUGAGUUUUGUUUUGUUUUUUUAUAUUUUGGAGGUGAAGCCCUUAUUGGUUGCAUCAUUUGCAACUAUUUUCUUCCAUUCCGUAGGUUGUCUUUUCAUUUUGUUUAUGGUUUCCUUUGAUGUGAAAAAGCUUGUAAGUUUGAUUAGUUUCCAUUUGUUUAUUUUUUUCUAUUGCCUUGGGAGACUGACCUAAUAAGACAUUUGUAUGGUU